UUGGGAAUCUUGCACAAUGGGCGAAAGCCUGAUGCAGCGACGCCGCGUGGAGGACGAAGUCUCUCGGGAUGUAAACUCCUUUUGCCAGGAACGAUAAUGACGGUACCUGGUGAAUAAGCCCCGGCUAACUACGUGCCAGCAGCCGCGGUAAGACGUAGGGGGCGAGCGUUGUCCGGAUUUACUGGGCGUAAAGAGCGCGUAGGCGGCCUAUUAAGUCAGGUGUGAAAUCUCCAGGGCUCAACCCGGAAACUGCACUUGAUACUGUUAGGCUGGAGUGUCGGAGAGGUGAUUGGAAUUCCUGGUGUAGCGGUGACAUGCAUUGAUAUCAGGAGGAACACCCAUGGCGAAGGCAGAUCACUGGCCGACAACUGACGCUGAGGCGCGAAAGCGUGGGUAGCAACAGAAUUAGAUACUCUGGUAGUCCACGCCCUAAACGAUGGAUACUAGACGUC
RNAcentral lists this ribosomal RNA (452 nucleotides) under uncultured bacterium. RNAcentral describes it as "bacterial SSU rRNA". It matches the Rfam family "Bacterial small subunit ribosomal RNA", at positions 355 to 824 of the family's 1533-position model. The record is from RNAcentral.